GGUAGUCGAACCCCCAACCCAACCUCUUAAUGCUGAGUGUCAAGCAGGGAGCCUUUGGUGUGACGUCUAGCCACGAGUCCAUGAAAGGUCUUGGAAUCAACCCCUUAACUUUAAAAUCCCACUCUGAUGGAUUUUUGGUUUGUUUUCAAAGUGGUCUUCUAAUUAAGAUUAUUUUCAGUUCUCUAGAACAUAAUUGAUAUAAUAAAUUCUUGUGGUGCGGAGAAAGCUUGCACUCAUUUCCCAUAAUCCCUUUCUUUACACUCUUCUGCUAGCCUACAGCCCCAACCCAACAUUAGCGGUGCAACAAAAACGGCGAGCAACAUUGGAGCGUCCAGCCAUACGGUUUAGAUCCAGAUUCCCGAAAAUGUGCUUGUCUGCAAGUGUUUUCAUCGGAAUGGAGCCGGUUAAAGUUUGUAUGCAACAACCACAAUUUAUCAACGGCAUUUUUUCAUCUGCUCCUGAUUUCCAGCGAUUUGAACAAAGAAAUAAUAAGCUUAAUUUUCUGUAUAUAUUUCCAUCAUCAGAAAAAUGCUUUAAAGACACAAUUUUCUUUGGAGAUGGUCUGUGUAAAUUGUACCUCUGGUGGCUUGAAGCAUUUUUUUAAAAAUAUCUUAACCAGAUAAACUAAACCAAACCAAACAGAACUGUUCAUCUGUUUUAAAAAUCAACUAUUUUGAUUUGAUUUGUAAGAUUCUCUGCACUUGAAGCUGGAAUCUAACUUGGAAACUUUCACUCCUUUCUUUUCAUCUGGAUUCAAACUCAACAUCUAAACAGGAAAAGGUUUGGAUUUGUCAAACUGCCCUGAGGAAACAUCAGGAACCGAAACUGAAGUUGCCUUAUAUUUCUGCAGACUGAUCACAUCAAAUGAUCUUAAAACCUUUUUUUCCCCCAGUUUAGAUCCCAUUUGAUCCGUGAUUUAUGGUGAUCCAGGUCACCCCCCCCCCCCCCCCACACACACACACACACACCCCACACACACACACACAAAAUGAAGCCUUUUUGCUCUGAUUUCAAGCAGCUUUUGGUCAGACUGGAGCCCAGGAUGCUCCUCCAGAAUGACAGGAACUUCAGCUUGUUUUGAAGAGAUGUCGCAGGUUUGGAAAGGAAACCGUCUCUGCAGCGAUCAGAAGCUGAAUUAACCCCACAUGUGGAGUGAACUCGCGCCUGCGGCUGAAACUCGGGGGAAAGGUCGGUCCAGGGAUCCGCUGGGGUCCAAUCCCUUCAACCCAAAGGUUCCCGAAGCCUCCUCGGAACCAGAACACACGGCAUCACUGAUCUAAACAUUGGUGUGCAGAUGCUGAGCCUCACCACACUGCGGUUUCCGCUCGUAUCCCUCAGAGCCAGUCGGAACUCUCCGGCUCGGCUCGGGUCCAUGCUGAGCUGCAGGCGCAGAGCCUCGCUUCCCGCUCCGGGGAGGCACAAGGGUCGGAUCCCGGAAUGGGACACCGAAACGCGGACCGACAUGAGAACCGUGGUGCAGCAGGCGGUCAGCGGAGGCCCGCUGCACACAGGAGCCUUCUGGGAGGACGAGGCAGAGAUUGGGGCUGGAGGCGCCCAGCCGCCCGAACUAAGAGCCAUGGCGCAGACAGCCGAACGGGCUUGGGUGGUUCUGGAUUCCUCGGACGUUUGGGUCUAUGACGUCUGCCGGUCCUCAAAGGCAGAACAUUUGUUUAAGGGAAGGUUGUGUCCUCGCCCCGCUAGUUCGUCCAUGUCCGCAUAAGCGGAGCUGCACCGGAAAAACACAACAGGACGGGUCCGUCUCUUAUUUAGCUCCGGGUAGAAACUGUCGACACAACCAUCCUCACUGAGAUGUCAACAGCAAUAAUAUGCUAAAAUAAAAAGAGUAACAAGAAGAGAAAAAAAAUAAUUUUAA
Molecule: long non-coding RNA, 1873 nt
Organism: Oryzias latipes (Japanese medaka)
Lineage: Eukaryota; Metazoa; Chordata; Actinopteri; Beloniformes; Adrianichthyidae
Source: RefSeq, a predicted model, not a curated record